GCCGGGCAUGGUGGCGCGUGCCUGUAGUCCCAGCUACUUGGGAGGCUGAGGUGGGAGGAUCACCUAAGCCCAGGAGUUCUAGGCUGUAGUGCGCUAUGCCGAUCGGGUGUCGGCACUAAGUUCGGCAUCAAUAUGGUGACCUCCCGGGAGCGGGGGACCACCAGGUUGCCUAAGGAGGGGUGAACCGGCCCAGGUCGGAAGCAGAGCAAGUCAAAACUCCCGUGCUGAUCAGUAGUGGGAUCGUGCCUGUGAAUAAUCACUGCACUCCAGCCUGGGCAACAUAGCAAGACCCCAUCUCUU
This is an unclassified non-coding RNA of Callithrix jacchus (white-tufted-ear marmoset), 300 nucleotides long. It matches the Rfam family "Metazoan signal recognition particle RNA". From Rfam's summary of the family: The signal recognition particle (SRP) is a universally conserved ribonucleoprotein. It is involved in the co-translational targeting of proteins to membranes. Lineage: Eukaryota; Metazoa; Chordata; Mammalia; Primates; Cebidae. The record is from Ensembl.